RNAcentral lists this non-coding RNA (75 nucleotides) under Citrobacter koseri. The record is from RNAcentral. RNAcentral also lists the same sequence under 1 other name. Lineage: Bacteria; Pseudomonadati; Pseudomonadota; Gammaproteobacteria; Enterobacterales; Enterobacteriaceae.
CGGUGCCGAUUCCCGAUCCUAUCCCGCGCCCACAACCUAUGCCAGAUCCGCCGCCGGAUGAAGAACCGAUUAAAU